CGUGACUGAGGUUUAGAAUCUACGAUAGUCACUACGUGGCUGAAGAGAAGUCUGAGACCUCCUCUUGGAUAACUAUGUGGCUCCCACAAAGGGAGAAGGGGAGAAAAAAUGAAAGAAGGAAAUAAAAUGCGUUAUCAAGCGGACGUAAACUUGAGACUUUCUGGAAUGCAAACCACAGGAAGGAUCAUUGUCUGGGACUUCACAGCAACUAUCACAAAGUUCUAAUGGAUAAACGUGUAAGACCAUAAAUGUUUGUGCCAGAAGUGAUAUGAAGCCAAACAGUCCUGUGGUUUUCAACCCCGGAGCAGUGGUCAGGAUAGAACAAGUUUGUGAAGGCCAUAUGCUGGUGUAAAAAGAACAAAGAAGAAUGCUGUAGACAGAAGAGAAAAGUUCAUUCCUGGGGUCCUCUCUUUAUUCAUGCAGUGAUAGUGGACAUCUCAUUUAAUGUCUGACCCUUUCAAUUCUUCACUUAUAAAAUGUGAUAAUGAAAAUAUCAAUCUUACAUAUAAAAAAGGGGGGCAAAAAAUCCAAAUGCUUUAAAUGUAUUCUGCUCUUGGAAAUAGAGUCAGAGAUUCUCAUACAACUCCUUAAGGAUCAUGUGCAUGUUAUUGACUUCAGCAUUAUUCAGAGUGAAGUUACUAGGGUCCUCUGGGUGCACAUCACUGGGAGAGCGUGUAGAGAAAACACACACUGCAUGGUGGCUACAGGAACAGGACUAGAUGCAUGUGUAUACAGCAGCAUGUCUGGAUCUUAAAACAUGGUCCUGAGUAAAAAAAAAAAAACUUAAAAUAGAUUAAAAUAGAUAGAAUAUCAUUCAUGUAAAUAAAAUAUAUACUAAAGUAUGCAUUUUGCAAGAAUGAGGACCAAAAGAACACACAUUUAAUGUGUUGCACAUGCUACCCAUGGGAAGGUGAAAUGGGAAUGAGGAAUGGAAACAAAAUGGAAAAAAAAUUUUAAAAUCAAAGAGGGUCUUCUUAUAGCCAGUGAUGAAAAUGUGCCACAAACUGGGAGAUCUGCACCUGGUGUUUGAAAGUGACAUCAAUUAUUAUAUAUAAAUUCUAUUCACUGAGAAGAUAUGUGUUGCCGCUCACUCCAAACUCUUCAUCUCUUCCUUUCUGUGCUUCAUUGAAGGGUUUUCCUUCCUCUUAAUCUUAUUCAACUAUUGCAUUUCCUGAUUAAAGAUAGGAAUAACUCAUUUAUAUUGUUUUGAAUCCCAUUGUCUUAUUCCCUCUAACACUAUUCUCUUUUAGAUAGAAAGUACUGCUUACAACAAAAUGCUUUCCCCUGCAGGGUGGAAUUUAAGACCAAGCAAUAGGUGAAGUAAUUCAGAGCGUGCAAUGUGCUUCACUGAAGCCAGGUCAAAGGCAUUAAAGAAAUAUCAGAUAUUAUCAGAAAUAAGUGUGAAUUGAAAAUUUGGAUAGUAUCUCAUAUGCUUACAGAAUGCAUAUCAUAAGUGACUGAUUAUUCUCUAUCUCUUUGAAAGUUGCCUUUAAUUGGAAGUUUUCAGGUCAA
This is a non-coding RNA of Oryctolagus cuniculus (rabbit), 1512 nucleotides long. Lineage: Eukaryota; Metazoa; Chordata; Mammalia; Lagomorpha; Leporidae. The record is from RefSeq and is a predicted model, not a curated record.